UAGGAAUAUACCUUAAAGAGGGGGAUAACUUGGGGAAACUCAAGCUAAUACCGCAUAAGCUCUGAGGAGUGAAGCUAGGGACCUUCGGGCCUGGCGCUUUGAGAUUAGCCUGCGUACGAUUAGCUAGUUGGUAGGGUAAAGGCCUACCAAGGCGACGAUCGUUAGCUGGUCUGAGAGGAUGAUCAGCCACACUGGAACUAAGACACGGUCCAGACUCCUACGGGAGGCAG
This 230-nucleotide ribosomal RNA is filed under the name uncultured bacterium. RNAcentral describes it as "partial 16S ribosomal RNA". It matches the Rfam family "Bacterial small subunit ribosomal RNA", at positions 118 to 351 of the family's 1533-position model. The record is from RNAcentral.